Molecule: transfer RNA, 76 nt
Filed under: Caudoviricetes sp.
Lineage: Duplodnaviria; Heunggongvirae; Uroviricota; Caudoviricetes
Description: tRNA-Tyr
Rfam family: tRNA
About the family: Transfer RNA (tRNA) molecules are approximately 80 nucleotides in length. Their secondary structure includes four short double-helical elements and three loops (D, anti-codon, and T loops). Further hydrogen bonds mediate the characteristic L-shaped molecular structure. tRNAs have two regions of fundamental functional importance: the anti-codon, which is responsible for specific mRNA codon recognition, and the 3' end, to which the tRNAs corresponding amino acid is attached (by aminoacyl-tRNA synthetases). tRNAs cope with the degeneracy of the genetic code in two manners: having more than one tRNA (with a specific anti-codon) for a particular amino acid; and 'wobble' base-pairing, i.e. permitting non-standard base-pairing at the 3rd anti-codon position.
Source: RNAcentral
GAUGGCGGUGUUGCACCAGACUGUAAAUCUGGCCCGAAAGGUAACAAUGUUGGUUCGAAUCCAGCCUCUUCCACCA